AAAGAGCUCCUGUAUCCCAGGCAGCUCAGUGAGGCUCUGAGGAGCUCAGUGGAAGAUGAGGAAAGCACAGCUCUUGGUGCUGGUGCUCCUGGUGCUGGGACACAGCAUCGCUGCAAUUGAAUUUGAAGGAGGUCGAGCCUUGGGAUGUAGUGAAACUGGAGGCUCCUGUAGACCACUCGGGUGCAAGGAAGGUGAGACAGAGACGAAGGAGAAAUGCUUCCUCGUUUUUAAGUGCUGCAAGGCUGACUGAGUAACAAAAAGUGGAAAUGUCCCCCUGUGAGAGCCGCCUGAGGCUCUGAUUGAAGCUAUCUGUAAUUCCUGUAAUUCUGCUUCUGACACAUUGUGUGGAUCCAAUGACCCCUGGCCCACUGCUUUCUGAAUCAUGUGAAUAAAACUGGCUGCAUCGA
This is a long non-coding RNA of Carcharodon carcharias (great white shark), 407 nucleotides long. RefSeq lists it as uncharacterized. The transcript has 2 exons. The record is from RefSeq and is a predicted model, not a curated record. NCBI's taxonomy places the organism in Eukaryota, Metazoa, Chordata, Chondrichthyes, Lamniformes, Lamnidae.